GCUUGUCUCAAAGAUUAAGCCAUGCAUGUCUAAGUGUAAAUACGUCUACACUGUGAAACUGCGAAUGGCUCAUUAAAUCAGUUAUCGUUUAUUUGAUGAUCUCUUGUUACAUGGAUAACCGUAGUAAUUCUAGAGCUAAUACAUGCGUCAAGCCCCGACUCACGAAGGGGUGUAUUUAUUAGAUUGAAACCAACCGCUUCGGCGUGAUGUGGUGAUUCAUAAUAAAUUUGCGAAUCGCAUGGCUUUACGCCGGCGAUGGAUCAUUCAAGUUUCUGCCCUAUCAGCUUUCGAUGGUAGUGUAUUGGACUACCAUGGCAGUAACGGGUAACGAAGAAUUAGGGUUCGAUUUCGGAGAGGGAGCAUGAGAAACGGCUACCACAUCCAAGGAAGGCAGCAGG
This is a ribosomal RNA of 398 nucleotides. It matches the Rfam family "Eukaryotic small subunit ribosomal RNA", at positions 30 to 432 of the family's 1831-position model.